UCUUCCCCGAACUUUAUUUUUGCAGACCUAUAAUAAAAGUGUCAAAUCUUCCUUUGAUUAGGGAUCCAAACAAAAGGUGAGUUGGAACACCCAAAAUUAAUUUCAAGUGGCGGCUCUGUAAAUAAAAUAAUCCCUUUUCAAAAUUAUCACUUUAAUUGAAAAAAUUCUUUAACCCACAAUACACAUAACAUAUAUCUUUUGCGGGGUAGAAUAGGGGUGUGACACACUGUACUUUGAUAAUUACACUAAAGUGCCCAUCCUGGUAAUAUAUUUUUGAAAACUCUAUUGACACUAGUUUCUUUAACUCUAGUUUUCAGAAGACCAACUAGUUUUAUGUAUGUGUUCUUUAAGUAUAACUUUAGCUCUUUCUACUUAUAUCUCUUAUUAAUCGCUCUAACAUUCCACACUAACCAAGUCAUUGGGCUGGUAUAGAAGGCCCACUAUUUGUUGUAGGCAAGCAUUUUUGAUUCCCAUUCCCACCUGUUUUCACUAUUGUUUUACUUUCUCUUUGAACAGUGGUAGAUAAAGUUGGAAACUCCCUGAUACAACUCAAUUCAGGACUUCUCUGGGAACUUGAUGGUCAUGCAUCCCUAUAAUUGGCUUAUUUGCCUCUAAUUGGUCAAUAGGCUUUUCCCCAACAUCACAGGCCCCUGUAUUAUCAUUUCACUCUCAUGUUGCUUCAUCCUUGCGUCAUCCAAUGGAACAAGAGUCUUUACAAUCUCAGUUGUUGGAGCUUUAUCUGGUUGCAUAGGAGCUUCAACUGGUUUACCGAUACCAGCUAAUGGUUGCAACCUGGGUCUUUUUCGAGCUCGUCCUCUUCCCCGAGCCAUGAACCACAGUGGGCGUACAUUUGACUAAUGUUCGCCAGAGGGCAUAGGAGCUAGAUAGAGAAAGCGGAAUUGAAAGUACUCUUUUAAAUAGCCAUUUCGUUCAGCAUGUAAUAUUCAUACUAUUCAU
Nicotiana tabacum (common tobacco) is the source of this 957-nucleotide non-coding RNA. NCBI's taxonomy places the organism in Eukaryota, Viridiplantae, Streptophyta, Magnoliopsida, Solanales, Solanaceae. The record is from RefSeq and is a predicted model, not a curated record.